ACGCAAUAGAUACCCAGGUAGUCCACGCCGUAAACGAUGAGUGCUAAGUGUUAGAGGGUUUCCGCCCUUUAGUGCUGCAGCUAACGCAUUAAGCACUCCGCCUGGGGAGUACGGUCGCAAGACUGAAACUCAAAGGAAUUGACGGGGGCCGCACAAGCGGUGGAGCAUGUGGUUUAAUUCGAAGCAACGCGAAGAACCUUACCAGGUCUUGACAUCCUCUGACAACUCUAGAGAUAGAGCGUUCCCCUUCGGGGGUACGAGAGUGACAGGUGGUGCAUGGUUGUCGUCAGCUCGUGUCGUGAGAUGUUGGGUUAAGUCCCGCAACGAGCGCAACCCUUGAUCUUAGUUGCCAGCAUUUAGUUGGGCACUCUAAGGUGACUGCCGGUGACAAACCGGAGGAAGGUGGGGUAUGACGUCAAAUCAUCAUGCCCCUUAUGACCUGGGCUACACACGUGCUACAAUGGAUGGUACAAAGGGCUGCAAGACCGCGAGGUCAAGCCAAUCCCAUAAAACCCAUUCUCAGUUCGGAUU
This 531-nucleotide ribosomal RNA is filed under the name uncultured bacterium. Its description in RNAcentral is "bacterial SSU rRNA". It matches the Rfam family "Bacterial small subunit ribosomal RNA", at positions 772 to 1299 of the family's 1533-position model. The record is from RNAcentral.